CCUACGGGCGGUAGCAGUGAGGAAUAUUGGUCAAUGGACGCAAGUCUGAACCAGCCAUGCCGCGUGCAGGAAGACGGCUCUAUGAGUUGUAAACUGCUUUUGUACGAGGGUAAACGCAGAUACGCGUAUCUGUCUGAAAGUAUCGUACGAAUAAGGAUCGGCUAACUCCGUGCCAGCAGCCGCGGUAAUACGGAGGAUUCAAGCGUUAUCCGGAUUUAGUGGGGUUAAAGGGUGCGUAGGCGGUCGGAUAAGGUAGAGGUGAAAUGCCGAGGCUCAACUUCGGAAUUGCCUCUGAUACUGUUCGGCUAGAGAGUAGUUGCGGUAGGCGGAAUGUAUGGUGUAGCGGUGAAAUGCUUAGAGAUCAUACAGAACACCGAGUGCGAAGGCAGCUUACCAAGCUACUUCUGACGUUGAGGCACGAAAGCGUGGGGAGCAAACAGGAUUAGAUACCCCUGUAGUC
Molecule: ribosomal RNA, 460 nt
Filed under: uncultured bacterium
Lineage: Bacteria
Description: partial 16S ribosomal RNA
Rfam family: Bacterial small subunit ribosomal RNA
Source: RNAcentral